RNAcentral lists this ribosomal RNA (1490 nucleotides) under uncultured bacterium. Its description in RNAcentral is "bacterial SSU rRNA". It matches the Rfam family "Bacterial small subunit ribosomal RNA". The record is from RNAcentral.
GACGAACGCUGGCGGCGUGCCUAAGACAUGCAAGUCGAGCGGGGCUUUGGGGCUUCGGCCCUGGAGCCCAGCGGCGGACGGGUGAGUAACACGUGGAUAACCUGCCCUCUGCUCUGGGAUAACAGGCCGAAAGGCCUGCUAAUACCGGAUAAGCUCACAGCCCCGCAUGGGGCAGGGAGAAAAGGCGCUGGAGUCGGUGGCGCUGGCAGAGGAGGGGUCCGCGGCCCAUUAGCUAGUUGGCGGGGUAACGGCCCACCAAGGCGACGAUGGGUAGCCGGCCUGAGAGGGCGGCCGGCCACACUGGGACUGAGACACGGCCCAGACUCCUACGGGAGGCAGCAGUCGGGAAUCUUGCACAAUGGGCGAAAGCCUGAUGCAGCGACGCCGCGUGGGCGAAGAAGGCCUUCGGGUUGUAAAGCUCUGUUGCCUGCGAAGAAGGGCCCUGUCAGGAAAUGGGCAGGGUUUGACGGUAGCAGGCGAGGAAGCCCCGGCAAACUACGUGCCAGCAGCCGCGGUAAUACGUAGGGGGCGAGCGUUGUCCGGAAUUACUGGGCGUAAAGGGCGUGUAGGCGGCCUGUUAAGUCAGGGGUGAAAGACCGGGGCUCAACCCCGGGGGUGCCCUUGAAACUGGCGGGCUUGAGUGCUCUAGAGGGCAGCGGAAUUCCCGGUGUAGCGGUGAAAUGCGUAGAGAUCGGGAGGAACACCAGUGGCGAAGGCGGCUGCCUGGGGAGUCACUGACGCUGAGGCGCGAAAGCUGGGGGAGCAAACAGGAUUAGAUACCCUGGUAGUCCCAGCCGUAAACGAUGAGUGCUAUGUGUGAGGGGUAUCGACCCCCCUCGUGCAGCAGCUAACGCAUUAAGCACUCCGCCUGGGGAGUACGGCCGCAAGGCUGAAACUCAAAGGAAUUGACGGGGGCCCGCACAAGCAGCGGAGCAUGUGGUUUAAUUCGAAGCAACGCGUAGAACCUUACCAGGGCUUGACAUGUGCGGAACCCUGCCGAAAGGCGGGGGUGCCACCCUUGGGGUGGAACCGCAACACAGGUGGUGCAUGGUUGUCGUCAGCUCGUGUCGUGAGAUGUUGGGUUAAGUCCCGCAACGAGCGCAACCCUCGUCGCAUGUUGCCAGCGGGUAAGGCCGGGCACUCAUGCGAGACUGCCGGUGACAAACCGGAGGAAGGUGGGGAUGACGUCAAAUCAUCAUGCCCCUUAUGCCCUGGGCUACACACGUGCUACAAUGGCCGCUACAGAGCGUACCGAACCCGUGAGGGGGAGGCAAUCGCCAAAGGCGGUCCCAGUUCGGAUCGCAGGCUGCAACUCGCCUGCGUGAAGCCGGAGUUGCUAGUAAUCGCGGAUCAGCAUGCCGCGGUGAAUACGUUCCCGGGCCUUGUACACACCGCCCGUCACACCAUGGGAGCUGGCAACACCCGAAGUCGGUGAGCUAACCCUGGAAACAGGGAGGCAGCCGCCGAAGGUGGGGCCGGUGACUGGGGUG